This 663-nucleotide ribosomal RNA is filed under the name Priestia aryabhattai. Its description in RNAcentral is "bacterial SSU rRNA". It matches the Rfam family "Bacterial small subunit ribosomal RNA", at positions 57 to 702 of the family's 1533-position model. Lineage: Bacteria; Bacillati; Bacillota; Bacilli; Caryophanales; Bacillaceae. The record is from RNAcentral.
GCAGUCGAGCGAACUGAUUAGAAGCUUGCUUCUAUGACGUUAGCGGCGGACGGGUGAGUAACACGUGGGCAACCUGCCUGUAAGACUGGGAUAACUUCGGGAAACCGAAGCUAAUACCGGAUAGGAUCUUCUCCUUCAUGGGAGAUGAUUGAAAGAUGGUUUCGGCUAUCACUUACAGAUGGGCCCGCGGUGCAUUAGCUAGUUGGUGAGGUAACGGCUCACCAAGGCAACGAUGCAUAGCCGACCUGAGAGGGUGAUCGGCCACACUGGGACUGAGACACGGCCCAGACUCCUACGGGAGGCAGCAGUAGGGAAUCUUCCGCAAUGGACGAAAGUCUGACGGAGCAACGCCGCGUGAGUGAUGAAGGCUUUCGGGUCGUAAAACUCUGUUGUUAGGGAAGAACAAGUACGAGAGUAACUGCUCGUACCUUGACGGUACCUAACCAGAAAGCCACGGCUAACUACGUGCCAGCAGCCGCGGUAAUACGUAGGUGGCAAGCGUUAUCCGGAAUUAUUGGGCGUAAAGCGCGCGCAGGCGGUUUCUUAAGUCUGAUGUGAAAGCCCACGGCUCAACCGUGGAGGGUCAUUGGAAACUGGGGAACUUGAGUGCAGAAGAGAAAAGCGGAAUUCCACGUGUAGCGGUGAAAUGCGUAGAGAUGUGGA